This 454-nucleotide ribosomal RNA is filed under the name uncultured Porphyromonadaceae bacterium. Its description in RNAcentral is "partial 16S ribosomal RNA". It matches the Rfam family "Bacterial small subunit ribosomal RNA", at positions 341 to 792 of the family's 1533-position model. Lineage: Bacteria; Pseudomonadati; Bacteroidota; Bacteroidia; Bacteroidales; Porphyromonadaceae. The record is from RNAcentral.
ACGGAAGGCAGCAGUGAGGAAUAUUGGUCAAUGGGCGGAAGCCUGAACCAGCCAAGUCGCGUGCGGGACGAAGGCCCUACGGGUCGUAAACCGCUUUUGUACGGGGAUAAAACCACCCACGUGUGGGUACUUGUAGGUACCGUAUGAAUAAGGAUCGGCUAACUCCGUGCCAGCAGCCGCGGUAAUACGGAGGAUCCGAGCGUUAUCCGGAUUUAUUGGGUUUAAAGGGUGCGCAGACGGGCUGCUAAGUCUACGGUGAAAUGUCAGGGCUCAACCUUGGCACUGCCGGAGAUACUGGCGGCCUUGAGAGUGGCGGAGGUAUCCGGAAUGUGUGGUGUAGCGGUGAAAUGCAUAGAUAUCACACAGAACACCGAUUGCGAAGGCAGGAUACCAUACCAUAUCUGGCGCUCAGGCACGAAAGCGUGGGGAUCGAACAGGAUUAGAUACCCUGGUA